Molecule: ribosomal RNA, 253 nt
Filed under: uncultured Sphingobacterium sp.
Lineage: Bacteria; Pseudomonadati; Bacteroidota; Sphingobacteriia; Sphingobacteriales; Sphingobacteriaceae
Description: partial 16S ribosomal RNA
Rfam family: Bacterial small subunit ribosomal RNA
Source: RNAcentral
UACGGAGGAUCCGAGCGUUAUCCGGAUUUAUUGGGUUUAAAGGGUGCGUAGGCGGCACUUUAAGUCAGGGGUGAAAGACGGCAGCUCAACUGUCGCAGUGCCUUUGAUACUGAAGUGCUUGAAUGCGGUUGAAGACGGCGGAAUGAGACAAGUAGCGGUGAAAUGCAUAGAUAUGUCUCAGAACACCGAUUGCGAAGGCAGCUGUCUAAGCCGUUAUUGACGCUGAUGCACGAAAGCGUGGGGAUCGAACAGG